UCAUCGACACUCAGCCCCCUUUCUCAAUGUCGAGAGCUGAAAAAUAGGGUUCGAGAGCGGCGAAGAGAGGGCUAGAAAUGGAAGCAAGCUGUGAGUUAAGGGAGGAUUAAAGCUUUAUUAGUUCUUGAACUGGGGUUGAAUUUAAUCUUCUUUGAUUUAAGGUACUAUUCUUACUCGAUUUUGUUUCUUGUACCUGUAUAUGCAUAUGCCUGUGUAUGUACAUCUCUCUCUCUUUCUCUCUCUCUCUCCCCUUCCUUUCUCUCCCUCUCCCUCUCUCCUGAGCUGUUCCUUCUCAUGUCUAGGUCAGAUUCACUGUUCGAUUUUCGCUUGCAUCGCUAAUUACUACUAAUCACACUCUAGAUCCGCGAAUCUCGGAUACGUGUUUCGCCUAAUUCAACUCGAAUCUGUUGUUAAUUUGUUAAUUAGUGUUUGACUCAGGUCUUGACUUCAUUAAUUAAGGCUCAGCUACUUGGAUAAUGUUUAUCUUACUUACUGUGUUUAUAGCUUGAAUGGCCGGAUGAUAUAAAACCCCAGGUUAGCUGUAAUUUUAUUGAUUUUUUACAUUGUUAUUUCUAUUUAUGCCUCUUUCAAAUAAUUUGCUCCUCAAUCAGGGUAGUAUGCACUAUGCACUUUAAGUAUUAUUGUUGAUAUUGUUUAAUUUACUUACUGUGUCUAUAGCUUGGGAUCAUUUGCUCAUUUGGGUUCUUGUUUAAGUAGUGCAACCGACAGUUUGUUAUGUUUAUGUUGCUUUGGAACACCGGAGCAGGUACUGCCAUACUUAUAUCCACUUAUCUUGCUGAUUUGUUUGCUUUUAUCCAGUAAACUUUAUAAAUAAUUUUAAUGUUGUGUGUUAGUUCCAACACAAUAUGAUUCAGAGACCAUUCCAAUUCUUGUUGUGCCAUCACUUUCUUUUCCUUUUAAUAGUUGACAUGCUAGUAAUUAAUUACAAGCAAUACAGAGCAUUAUUAAUUAAUUUUGUUUAUGUUCUGUUUCUCUGAUCUAGACAGUGAUUAUAACUUAUAUUUGGUCUGACCUCUAACAAUAGCAAGACGUUUGUUCUUGGAAUCUUGCUUCAUGGAAACAAAUAUUUGAGUGUGGAGUGUUGGUUCAAAGAAACAGGUGCUUCUGAUUGACAAGUCUGAAAGAUUUAUCUUUAAGCCAAUGUUACAUGAGCUUCUGAGUGGAGAAGUAGAUUCAUGGGAAAUAGCUCCACGGUUUUCAGAUCUUCUAGCAAAAACUGGUGUGCAAUUUUUACAAGAUAGAGUGAAACUUCUACAUCCAUAUGAUAAUUUGCGACUGAGCGGGCCUACAAGAAUGGGAGACUUGCUAUGUUUGCGGUGCUCGGAUUCUUUAUGAUUUGUUAAGUGUUUGACAUAAGUAGUAGUAUGGAUGUAUAUUUUGGAUGUUUUUGGAAUGUAGGGAAAUCUAUGUAUUCAAAUAGUACCUUUCAAUUUGAUAAUUUUUAGAACCUAUUGCAAUAGUCAUAUAAAAUGUGUUGUACUCGCUUUAUAUUUACUGUUGUUAUUUGUA
Daucus carota subsp. sativus is the source of this 1530-nucleotide long non-coding RNA. RefSeq lists it as uncharacterized. The record is from RefSeq and is a predicted model, not a curated record. The transcript has 3 exons. Lineage: Eukaryota; Viridiplantae; Streptophyta; Magnoliopsida; Apiales; Apiaceae.